RNAcentral lists this long non-coding RNA (582 nucleotides) under Mus pahari (shrew mouse). RNAcentral's name for it is "lncRNA (MGP_PahariEiJ_G0003471.1)". The record is from RNAcentral. Lineage: Eukaryota; Metazoa; Chordata; Mammalia; Rodentia; Muridae.
ACGUGGCAACUCGUGUCCCAAAUAGGAGCAGUCCUGGGCCGCUAUCCUGUGAGGGUGGAGACGCUCCCCGAGACUGGACAGACACCGAGAGGUGGAGCUGAGCUAAUACGAGGCCAAGGGAAUCCCAGGUAUUCCAGUUAUCCUGAACUCACCAUAUAGAAGAGGAUGACCCUGAGCUUCUGAUACUCCAUCUCUUACUAGGAUUCCAGGUGUGUGGCACCGCCUCUUUAAGUAUUAGGCGCUGAGUGAAGUUUGAGCCCAGGACUUCCUGCUUGCUGGGCAAGGUCUCUGAGCUACAUCCAGUGGCAUCCCUGUGCCAUUUCUGCAGCCAUUGGAGGAUCCCUUUCAAGGCUUCUACCAGGAGCAACUGCCCACAGUUCUGCCUUAAGAAUGCCUGAGAGACCUGGCAUCAGAGCCUGCCCCCCAAAUCAUCACUCACUCUGCCAGGCACACCAGGUCUUCCUCCCUUUACUCGCCGCACCCAAGAAAUCAAAACCCAAACUGAGGUAUCAGAAACAUGUUCUUUUUUUCUUUUAAUAGUAAACCUCUUUACAACAAAUAUAGUGAAAGAGUUUUCAAACC